AAUCAACGCUGGCGGCGUGCCUAACACAUGCAAGUCGAACGCGAAAGUCCCGCAAGGGGCAAGUAGAGUGGCAAACGGGUGAGUAACGCGUGGGCGACCUACCGUUGAGUGGGGGAUAACCUUCCGAAAGGAGGGCUAAUACCGCAUGACAUCCCGUGUUUGGAUACACGGACAUCAAAGCCGGGGAUCGCAAGACCUGGCGCUUGACGAGGGGCCUACGUCCGAUUAGCUAGUUGGUGGGGUAACGGCCUACCAAGGCUCCGAUCGGUA
Molecule: ribosomal RNA, 270 nt
Filed under: uncultured bacterium
Lineage: Bacteria
Description: partial 16S ribosomal RNA
Rfam family: Bacterial small subunit ribosomal RNA
Source: RNAcentral